UCGGGAAUUUUGUGCAAUGGGCGAAAGCCUGACACAGCAACGCCGCGUGAAGGAUGAAGUCCCUCGGGAUGUAAACUUCGUAAGAAUAGGAAGAAUAAAUGACGGUACUAUUUAUAAGCUCCGGCUAACUACGUGCCAGCAGCCGCGGUAAUACGUAGGGAGCAAGCGUUGUUCGGAUUUACUGGGCGUAAAGGGCGCGUAGGCGGCGCGGUAAGUCACUUGUGAAAUCUCUGAGCUUAACUCGGAACGGCCAAGUGAUACUGCAGUGCUAGAGUGCAGAAGGGGCAAUCGGAAUUCUUGGUGUAGCGGUGAAAUGCGUAGAUAUCAAGAGGAACACCUGAGGUGAAGACGGGUUGCUGGGCUGACACUGACGCUGAGGCGCGAAAGCUAGGGGAGCAAACGGGAUUAGAUACCCCAGUAGUCCCUGAGCGGGCUGGCAAGGCGCAU
RNAcentral lists this ribosomal RNA (447 nucleotides) under uncultured bacterium. RNAcentral describes it as "bacterial SSU rRNA". It matches the Rfam family "Bacterial small subunit ribosomal RNA", at positions 355 to 825 of the family's 1533-position model. The record is from RNAcentral.